GCUUUCUUCAGCAGCUCAUACUAAAAUCAGAACCAUAUAGAGAAGAUUGUCAUGGCCCCUGAGCAAGGAUGACAUGAGAAUUCAUUAAGUGUUCCUUUUUUUU
This is a small nuclear RNA of Suncus etruscus (white-toothed pygmy shrew), 103 nucleotides long. The record is from RefSeq and is a predicted model, not a curated record. NCBI's taxonomy places the organism in Eukaryota, Metazoa, Chordata, Mammalia, Eulipotyphla, Soricidae.